GACGAACGCUGGCGGCGUGCUUAACACAUGCAAGUCGAGCGGUAAGGCCCUUUCGGGGGUACACGAGCGGCGAACGGGCGAGUAACACGUGGGUGACCUGCCCUCAGCUCUGGGAUAAGCCUGGGAAACUGGGUCUAAUACUGGAUAUGACUCCACGGUGCAUGUCGUGGGGUGGAAAGCCUUGUGCGGCUGAGGAUGGGCCCGCGGCCUAUCAGCUUGUUGGUGGGGGUGANGGCCUACCAAGGCGACGACGGGUAGCCGGCCUGAGAGGGCGACCGGCCACACUGGGACUGAGACACGGCCCAGACUCCUACGGGAGGCAGCAGUGGGGAAUCUUGCGCAAUGGGCGAAAGCCUGACGCAGCGACGCCGCGUGAGGGAUGACGGCCUGGUU
Molecule: ribosomal RNA, 393 nt
Filed under: uncultured bacterium
Lineage: Bacteria
Description: bacterial SSU rRNA
Rfam family: Bacterial small subunit ribosomal RNA
Source: RNAcentral